RNAcentral lists this ribosomal RNA (835 nucleotides) under uncultured eukaryote. RNAcentral's name for it is "SSU rRNA". It matches the Rfam family "Eukaryotic small subunit ribosomal RNA", at positions 592 to 1466 of the family's 1831-position model. The record is from RNAcentral.
UAAUAAUAUUUUUUGUUUGCCGUUAAAAGCUCGUAGUUGGAUUUCGGUUAGGAGCGACCGGUCCGCCGCUUGGUGUGCACUGGUUGGUUUUAACUUCCUGUAGAGGACGUGCUCUGGGUUUAACGACCUGGACUCGGAGUCUACGUGGUUACUUUGAAAAAAUUAAAGUGUUCAAAGCGGGCUUACGCUUGAAUAUUUCAGCAUGGAAUAACACUAUAGGACUCCUGUCCUAUUUCGUUGGUCUCGGGACGGGAGUAAUGAUUAAGAGGAACAGUUGGGGGCAUUCGUAUUUCAUUGUCAGAGGUGAAAUUCUUGGAUUUAUGAAAGACGAACUUCUGCGAAAGCAUUUGCCAAGGAUGUUUUCAUUAAUCAAGAACGAAAGUUGGGGGCUCGAAGAUGAUUAGAUACCAUCCUAGUCUCAACCAUAAACGAUGCCGACUAGGGAUUGGCGGAUGUUAAUUGAUGACUCCGCCAGCACCUUAUGAGAAAUCAAAGUUUUUGGGUUCCGGGGGGAGUAUGGUCGCAAGGGUGACACUUAAAGGAAUUGACGGAAGGGCACCACCAGGCCCGGAGCCUGCGGCUUAAUUUGACUCAACACGGGAAAACUUACCAGGUCCAGACAUAGUAAGGAUUGACAGAUUGAGAGCUCUUUCUUGAUUCUAUGGGUGGUGGUGCAUGGCCGUUCUUACUUGGUGGAGUGAUCUGUCUGGUUAAUUUCCUUUAACGAACGAGACAUCACCCUGCUAAAUAGUUGUACGCUACUCUUAGCGCAGCACUUCUUAGAGGGACUAUGGCGUUUACCCAAUGGAAGUUUGAAGGCAAUAACAGGUCUGUG